CAGCCGCCACGGGAAUACGAGGGGGGCAAGCGUUGUUCGGAAUUAUUGGGCGUAAAGGGUGCGUAGGCGGUUUGAUAAGUCUUGUGUGAAAUCUCUGGGCUCAACCCAGAGUCUGCACAGGAAACUGUCGGGCUUGAGAGUGGGAGAGGUGAGUGGAAUUUCCGGUGUAGCGGUGAAAUGCGUAGAUAUCGGAAGGAACACCUGUGGCGAAAGCGGCUCACUGGACCAUUUCUGACGCUGAUGCACGAAAGCUAGGGGAGCAAACAGGAUUAGAGACCCGUGUAGUCCCUGUCUCUUAUAC
RNAcentral lists this ribosomal RNA (301 nucleotides) under uncultured bacterium. RNAcentral describes it as "partial 16S ribosomal RNA". It matches the Rfam family "Bacterial small subunit ribosomal RNA", at positions 509 to 807 of the family's 1533-position model. The record is from RNAcentral.